CUCCCCACGCCGAGCAUUCUUGUUCCUCUUUAACACAGAUUUCUUGGCCAAUUUAAUAGCCUUUAUCUUCUGAGCAGAAUCCUUCAGGCCCUCUCCCGGUAUAACUUCACCAGGAGGUCGUGAUUGUGACCUUGACCGAGAUGUAGACCUUAGACGGAGCUUUUUGCUUGCUUGGUUGUCAUCUAUAUCCAUAGCAUCUCCACCAUCACCCUCUCUCUUAUCAACUGAUCGCUCCCUUUUCCGGCCUCUUGACUUGCUACGAGCACGAUUAAUUGCAAGAGAGGGAUCCAGCCCCAAAGAAGAUAGCUGCCGGCCCAUCCUCCCUGUUGUGAACUUUCUAUCUGUGUCGAACUUUCUUGGUACAACAGGUCGACUUUCUGCAGUGCUUUUCUUCAUCCUAUGCUGUUGAAUAAGCAAGCUCUUCUUUUUCCUAAUCUCAGCCAGUGCUUCUUGCUCUUCCAGGGAUAAUUCUUGGCCAUCCAUCUCAAAGUCAUCACCUUCCUCCUC
This 507-nucleotide long non-coding RNA is filed under the name Gossypium raimondii (Peruvian cotton). RNAcentral describes it as "long non-coding RNA (GRAI_LNC002101)". Lineage: Eukaryota; Viridiplantae; Streptophyta; Magnoliopsida; Malvales; Malvaceae. The record is from RNAcentral.